GGCAUGCCUGUUCGAGCGUCAUUACAACCCUCAAGCUCUGCUUGGUAUUGGGCCGCGCCGCCUGGCCGGCCCCAAAGACAAUGGUGGCGCCCCCCGGCCCUCAGCGUAGUAAAUCUCUCGCUGUAGGAACCGUGGUGGUCCCGACACCCAAAACGCACAAGGUUGACCUCGGAUCAGGUAGGGAUACCCGCUGAACUUAA
Molecule: unclassified non-coding RNA, 200 nt
Filed under: soil metagenome
Description: partial contains 5.8S ribosomal RNA, internal transcribed spacer 2, and large subunit ribosomal RNA
Source: RNAcentral